Molecule: RNA transcript, 2071 nt
Organism: Brassica napus (rape)
Lineage: Eukaryota; Viridiplantae; Streptophyta; Magnoliopsida; Brassicales; Brassicaceae
Gene name: pentatricopeptide repeat-containing protein At3g42630-like
Exons: 3
Source: RefSeq, a predicted model, not a curated record
AUCCGCGCCCAGCCUUAGGUCCUACUAUUUUGCACUGACUUUGAUUAAACCUUCUCUUUCGGUUGGUGUCUUUGUUUGCGUAAUCGGACGCCUUGAAUCUUCAUAUCGGAGACGAUAACAAUGGCGUCGCUUCUUACGACGGGGCUCAUACAAUCUCAUCAUCUCUCUUGGAGAAUCCAUCGAGUCAAGCUCUUAUCUUGCUCCACAGAUUUGCCCACUCGGAAGGUUGUCAAGGAAUCAAAGCUUUCUAGAGAUUCCAGUCGAAAGAUCAAAGUCGUAGACUAUGCUCCACUCAUCGAAAGCUUAAACCGAAGAAGAUUGCCUGAUGAAGCUCAUGAGAUUUUCAUCCAAAUGAAAUCAGACAACUUGCUGCCUAACUACAGAACGCUUUCCGCUCUUAUGCUCUGCUUUGCUCAAAACGGUUCUGUCCUUCGAUCGCGUGCCAUCUGGGAGGAGAUUCUAAACAGCUCUUUCGUCCCUGAUCUCCUUGUCAUCUCAAAGCUCAUGUCUGCUUACGAGCAGAUUGGUUGUUUUAGUGAAGUUUCCAAAAUCACCAGGGACAUAAGUGCAAGACAUCCUAAGCUGCUUCCCGUCGUAUCCUCACUUGCUAUUUGCUGUUUUGGAAAGAAGGGUCAGUUGGAAUUGAUGGAGGAUGCUAUAGAUGAAUUGGAUUUAAAUGAGAUCUCCUUAGACUCGGCCACUGCUAACGCAGUUGUCAGAUACUAUAGCGUUUUUGGUACUCUAGAGAAGAUGGAGCAGGCUUAUAGCCGGCUUAAGAAGUCUGGUGUUGUGAUAGAGGAAGGAGAGAUAAGAGCUGUGUUGUUAGCAUACUUAAAACAAAGGAAGUUUUAUCGGCUUCGUGAGUUUUGUUCAGACCUUGGUCUUGGUAGGAGAGACCUGGGGAAUAUGUUAUGGAACUCUGUGUUACUGUCGUAUGCAGCUGACUUUAAGAUGAAAAGCUUGCAGAGAGAGUUCAUUGAAAUGCGUGGCGCUGGUGUCUCUCCUGACCUUACCACAUUUAACAUACGUGCUCUUGCGUUUUCUAGGUUGGCUCUUUUCUGGGAUCUGCAUCUUACGCUUGAACAUAUGAGAGUUUUUGACAUUGUUCCGGAUCUCGUGACUUUUGGAUGUGUGGUCGAUGCGUACAUGGAUAAGAGGCUAGCGAGGAAUUUGGAAUUUGUAUACAACCGAAUGAACCUGGACGACUCUCCUGUUGUUUUAACUGAUCCACUCGUCUUUGAAGUACUGGGGAAAGGAGAUUUCCAUCUUAGCUCAGAAGCUGUUUUGGAGUUUGGUCAACGGAGAAACUGGACGUAUAGAAAGCUAAUUGGAGUUUAUCUCAAAAAGAAGUUGCGAAGAGACCAGAUUUUCUGGAAUUACUAACCACCUCUUUGCCGCAGCGCAGCGUGAUAAACUUAUCAGAUGCUUAAAACACUGAGGUAAUUCGAAGAGGCCAAAUGAACUGCUGACAUGGACAAGAUAUAAAGAGAUAGACUCUGGUGGACUUGGAAGGUUUUCGGUUGAAGAAGACUCACGACGAAGGCCUAGAUAUAAAUAGAGUUCUUCUUCAUUUGUUGUUCAUGCUUUGAAUGUUGUUGUAGAAAGACCCUAUGAGUCUUCUCUCUCAGUCGCCAAGAAAAUGAUGAUUCAUGUUAUGUUGUUAUGUUCGCCAUGAGAGUGUAGCUUCGAAGCUGUAUCGUUUUCUUAUUGAAUUGCUAGUUCCGUGAGUUAGAGAUAUCCAAACUCUAUCACACUGAUAAGCUAUUGAGAGCUUAUGUGAAACAGAGGAUGAAGAGAGCUGACGUGGAAGGGACAUCUAAAGAUCUCAACAAACAAUGUUGACGUGGCGAGGAGGGAGGAAGAAGUUUGUUACGAUCAGUUUUACAUAAAUAUUUACUUGUUUGUUGCUUUGAUUUUUUAUCGAGUAAUUGUACUUUGAUCAUUGGGCUUGUAGAGAGAUUUUCUCUAUGAGAAGGCAGUAAUUCGAGAGAGUGUUCUCGUUUUGCUGAGGAUCAGAUACUUUGAGGAGAGAUUCUUAUUGUAUUUGAUAUUGACACUCUUGUUAAUCGAA